Molecule: long non-coding RNA, 950 nt
Organism: Cornus florida
Lineage: Eukaryota; Viridiplantae; Streptophyta; Magnoliopsida; Cornales; Cornaceae
Exons: 4
Source: RefSeq, a predicted model, not a curated record
CGGGUUAGGCAUUCUUGCUUCAUUUGCUUGGCUCAUUUGAGUUCCGUGGCUUCAUGGAGAGUCAUUUUGGGGCCUUAGAGAUGACGUACAUCUCUUGAGGUCAUUUGGCUUCUUUCGCUUCCGCAUUUCGGGUGCGUUAUCGGGUCAACUUCCGGUUCAUCACUAACGCACCGGGUUGAGAAAUCCGGGUCGUUACACAGGUUCUGUUUGAGUUUGCUGUUAAACAAGUGUUGGAAUAACUAAGAACUAUUACAAAGGGUGGUUAUUUAGUGACAAGUGCUGAGAAGAGGAAAUUGGGGACCAUUGUUUUUGCUGCUGUCAGCCUUUCUGUCAGUGAAAUCCAAAGUCUUCUCAAUAAGGUGGACGUUGACAAGUUACGUGCAAUUAUUGCUUCAAAUUUGCUUUUAGAUGACAAUAACAAAAUGAAGAAUUUUGUAAAGAACAAAGCACUUUAUACAUGUGGUUAAGCACGUUGAUUUCAACCAACAAGGUACCAUUUACCUCAAGGAACCUCACUAUCUCCAUCUUAAUCCAUCAAGGCGUAUAAGAUUCACAGAGACAAAAUGGUUAUUUUGUUCCAAUUACAUAGAGACAGAAAAAAUGCAUGUCCAUCAAAUACACAAACAAGAGGACUCUCACUAGGACCAUACAAAGGAUAAGAGCAAUAAAUUGGUUUUCCACAGAACAAGGAAAUACAUACCUGUAUUUGCCCAAUUGGAAGCUAGAGGAAGUGGGAUAGGAGGAUUGUUGAAUUUCUAAAAAGUACUUGAAAUGAUGUGGGAUAUGGGACAUUUGUAAUGUUAAACAGUGUCAUUUUUUUUGCAUGUAUUUUGUAAUCUGUUGGUGUUAGAUAUUUUUUAAGUUUUAAAGAGUAGCUUUGCAACUUUUGAUUGUGGAUUAGGUUGGUAUGUUUUUGCAACUAUUGUAUGGCUUAUUAUACUGGUAUCUAC